Molecule: long non-coding RNA, 309 nt
Organism: Nomascus leucogenys (northern white-cheeked gibbon)
Lineage: Eukaryota; Metazoa; Chordata; Mammalia; Primates; Hylobatidae
Exons: 3
Source: RefSeq, a predicted model, not a curated record
CCCGCUCCUCGGGCCGCCAGAGGCGCCGGGAUGGCGGGCGCAGGCUGUGCCAGCAGCUCCUGGGAGGCUGCGUUCGCACACCGGCGGGGCCUGAGACCUGGGAGGAAGCUGGAGAAAAGAUGCCCUCUGAAUCUUUCUGUUUGGUUGCCCAGGCUCGGCUUGACUCCAAAUGGUUGAAAACAGAUACACAGCUGUGCGGUCAGAGAAGAAAUGCCUUAGGAAGCCAAGCAAGUGGCUUUUGGAAUAUACAGAAGAAUAUGAUCAGAUAUUUACUCCUAAGAAAAAACAAGAGAAGGUACAGGAGCAGGU